UACGGGGGGGGCAAGCGUUGUUCGGAAUUACUGGGCGUAAAGGGCUCGUAGGCGGCCAUGUAAGUCAGACGUGAAAGCCCUCGGCUUAACCGGGGAACUGCGUCUGAUACUGGAUGGCUUGAGUUCGGGAGAGGGAUGCGGAAUUCCAGGUGUAGCGGUGAAAUGCGUAGAUAUCUGGAGGAACACCGGUGGCGAAGGCGGCAUCCUGGACCGAUACUGACGCUGAGGAGCGAAAGCCAGGGGAGCAAACAGG
RNAcentral lists this ribosomal RNA (253 nucleotides) under uncultured bacterium. Its description in RNAcentral is "partial 16S ribosomal RNA". It matches the Rfam family "Bacterial small subunit ribosomal RNA", at positions 524 to 776 of the family's 1533-position model. The record is from RNAcentral.